Molecule: ribosomal RNA, 389 nt
Filed under: Gyrodinium sp.
Lineage: Eukaryota; Dinophyceae; Gymnodiniales; Gymnodiniaceae
Description: partial small subunit ribosomal RNA
Rfam family: Eukaryotic small subunit ribosomal RNA
Source: RNAcentral
AUUCCAGCUCCAAUAGCGUAUAUUAAAGUUGUUGCGGUUAAAAAGCUCGUAGUUGGAUUUCUGCUGAGGACGACCGGUCCGCCCUCCGGGUGAGCAUCUGGUUCGGCCUUGGCAUCUUCUUGGUGAACGUAUCUGCACUUGACUGUGUGGUGCGGUACCCAGGACUUUUACUUUGAGGAAAUUAGAGUGUUUCAAGCAGGCAUACGCCUUGAAUACAUUAGCAUGGAAUAAUAAGAUAGGACCUUGGUUCUAUUUUGUUGGUUUCUAGAGCUGAGGUAAUGAUUAAUAGGGAUAGUCAGGGGCAUUCGUAUUCAAACGACAGAGGUGAAAUUCUUGGACCGUUUGAAGACGAACUAAGGCGAAAGCAUUUGCCAAGAAUGUUUUCAUCG